Molecule: ribosomal RNA, 194 nt
Filed under: Rubia haematantha
Lineage: Eukaryota; Viridiplantae; Streptophyta; Magnoliopsida; Gentianales; Rubiaceae
Description: 5.8S ribosomal RNA
Rfam family: 5.8S ribosomal RNA (bases 5-160)
About the family: 5.8S ribosomal RNA (5.8S rRNA) is a component of the large subunit of the eukaryotic ribosome.
Source: RNAcentral
ACACGACUCUCGGCAAAGGAUAUAUAGGCUCUCGCAUCGAUGAAGAAAGUAGCAAAAUGCGAUACUUGGUGUGAAUUGCAGAAUCCCGUGAAUCAUCGAGUUUUUGAACGCAAGUUGCGCCCGAAGCCAUCCGGCCGAGGGCACGCCCGCCUGGGGGUCACGCAUAUCGUCGCCACCCCCUCUUCCCCCUCUUC